AAAAAAGGUAAGCUACUAAGAGCGAAUGGUGGAUGCCUUGACUGGUAAAGGCGAUGAAGGACGUACUAGACUGCGAUAAGCUACGGGGAGCUGUCAAGAAGCUUUGAUCCGUAGAUUUCCGAAUGGGGCAACCCAAUGUAUAGAGAUAUACAUUACCUAUAUAGGAGCGAACGAGGGGAAUUGAAACAUCUUAGUACCCUCAGGAAAAGAAAUCAAUAGAGAUUGCGUCAGUAGCGGCGAGCGAAAGCGCAAGAGGGCAAACCCAGUGCUUGCACUGGGGGUUGUAGGACUGCAAUGUGCAAGAGGUAAGUUUAGCAGAACAUUCUGGAAAGUAUAACCAUAGAGGGUGAUAGUCCCGUAUGCGAAAAACAAACCUUAGCUAGCAGUAUCCUGAGUAGGGCGGGACACGAGGAAUCCUGUCUGAAUCCGGGUCGACCACGAUCCAACCCUAAAUACUAAUACCAGAUCGAUAGUGCACAAGUACCGUGAGGGAAAGGUGAAAAGAACUGAGGUGAUCAGAGUGAAAUAGAACCUGAAACCAUUUGCUUACAAUCAUUCAGAGCACUAUGUAGCAAUACAGUGUGAUGGACUGCCUUUUGCAUAAUGAGCCUGCGAGUUGUGGUGUCUGGCAAGGUUAAGCAAACGCGAAGCCGUAGCGAAAGCGAGUCUGAAUAGGGCGCUUAGUCAGAUGCUGCAGACCCGAAACGAAGUGAUCUAUCCAUGAGCAAGUUGAAGCUAGUGUAAGAACUAGUGGAGGACUGAACCCAUAGGCGUUGAAAAGCCCCGGGAUGACUUGUGGAUAGGGGUGAAAGGCCAAUCAAACUUCGUGAUAGCUGGUUCUCUCCGAAAUAUAUUUAGGUAUAGCGUUGUGUCGUAAUAUAAGGGGGUAGAGCACUGAAUGGGCUAGGGCAUACACCAAUGUACCAAACCCUAUCAAACUCCGAAUACCUUAUAUGUAAUCACAGCAGUCAGGCGGCGAGUGAUAAAAUCCGUCGUCAAGAGGGAAACAACCCAGACUACCAGCUAAGGUCCCUAAAUCUUACUUAAGUGGAAAACGAUGUGAAGUUACUUAAACAACCAGGAGGUUGGCUUAGAAGCAGCCAUCCUUUAAAGAAAGCGUAAUAGCUCACUGGUCUAGUGAUUUUGCGCGGAAAAUAUAACGGGGCUAAAGUAAGUACCGAAGCUGUAGACUUGCACACAACUUAGAUUAUUUAAGUUUAGAAUAUGAGAAACUAAGUUAUAUGUUUAGUUAUAUUUUUACUGAUUUUUAUAGAGUAAAGAUAGAAAUAAAACUUAGUAAAAUCAGUAAAAAUAUUCUUAGACUAAAGUUAAGUAGUUUAAGUUGUGUGCAAGUGGUAGGAGAGCGUUCUAUUUGCGUCGAAGGUAUACCGGUAAGGAGUGCUGGAGCGAAUAGAAGUGAGCAUGCAGGCAUGAGUAGCGAUAAUUAAUGUGAGAAUCAUUAACGCCGUAAACCCAAGGUUUCCUACGCGAUGCUCGUCAUCGUAGGGUUAGUCGGGUCCUAAGUCGAGUCCGAAAGGGGUAGACGAUGGCAAAUUGGUUAAUAUUCCAAUACCAACAUUAGUGUGCGAUGGAAGGACGCUUAGGGCUAAGGGGGCUAGCGGAUGGAAGUGCUAGUCUAAGGUCGUAGGAGGUUGUACAGGCAAAUCCGUAUAACAAUACUCCGAGAACUGAAAGGCUUUUUGAAGUCUUCGGAUGGAUAGAAGAACCCCUGAUGCCGUCGAGCCAAGAAAAGUUUCUAAGUUUAGCUAAUGUUGCCCGUACCGUAAACCGACACAGGUGGGUGGGAUGAGUAUUCUAAGGCGCGUGGAAGAACUCUCUUUAAGGAACUCUGCAAAAUAGCACCGUAUCUUCGGUAUAAGGUGUGGUUAGCUUUGUAUUAGGAUUUACUCCGAAAGCAAGGAAACUUACAACAAAGAGUCCCUCCCGACUGUUUACCAAAAACACAGCACUCUGCUAACUCGUAAGAGGAUGUAUAGGGUGUGACGCCUGCCCGGUGCUCGAAGGUUAAUUGAUGGGGUUAGCAUUAGCGAAGCUCUUGAUCGAAGCCCGAGUAAACGGCGGCCGUAACUAUAACGGUCCUAAGGUAGCGAAAUUCCUUGUCGGUUAAAUACCGACCUGCAUGAAUGGCGUAACGAGAUGGGAGCUGUCUCAAAGAGGGAUCCAGUGAAAUUGUAGUGGAGGUGAAAAUUCCUCCUACCCGCGGCAAGACGGAGAGACCCCGUGGACCUUUACUACAGCUUGACACUGCUACUUGGAUAAGAAUGUGCAGGAUAGGUGGGAGGCUUUGAGUAUAUGACGCCAGUUGUAUAUGAGCCAUUGUUGAGAUACCACUCUUUCUUAUUUGGGUAGCUAACCAGCUUGAGUUAUCCUCAAGUGGGACAAUGUCUGGUGGGUAGUUUGACUGGGGCGGUCGCCUCCCAAAUAAUAACGGAGGCUUACAAAGGUUGGCUCAGAACGGUUGGAAAUCGUUCGUAGAGUAUAAAGGUAUAAGCCAGCUUAACUGCAAGACAUACAAGUCAAGCAGAGACGAAAGUCGGUCUUAGUGAUCCGGUGGUUCUGUGUGGAAGGGCCAUCGCUCAAAGGAUAAAAGGUACCCCGGGGAUAACAGGCUGAUCUCCCCCAAGAGCUCACAUCGACGGGGAGGUUUGGCACCUCGAUGUCGGCUCAUCGCAUCCUGGGGCUGGAGCAGGUCCCAAGGGUAUGGCUGUUCGCCAUUUAAAGCGGUACGCGAGCUGGGUUCAGAACGUCGUGAGACAGUUCGGUCCCUAUCUGCCGUGGGCGUAAGAAGAUUGAAGAGAUUUGACCCUAGUACGAGAGGACCGGGUUGAACAAACCACUGGUGUAGCUGUUGUUCUGCCAAGAGCAUCGCAGCGUAGCUAAGUUUGGAAAGGAUAAACGCUGAAAGCAUCUAAGCGUGAAGCCAACUCUAAGAUGAAUCUUCUCUAAGCUCUCUAGAAGACUACUAGUUUGAUAGGCUGGGUGUGUAAUGGAUGAAAGUCCUUUAGCUGACCAGUACUAAUAGAGCGUUUGGCUUAUCUUUAAUAAAGCAU
Molecule: ribosomal RNA, 3071 nt
Filed under: Campylobacter jejuni
Lineage: Bacteria; Pseudomonadati; Campylobacterota; Epsilonproteobacteria; Campylobacterales; Campylobacteraceae
Description: bacterial LSU rRNA
Rfam family: Bacterial large subunit ribosomal RNA
Source: RNAcentral